RNAcentral lists this ribosomal RNA (484 nucleotides) under uncultured bacterium. RNAcentral's name for it is "partial 16S ribosomal RNA". It matches the Rfam family "Bacterial small subunit ribosomal RNA", at positions 30 to 507 of the family's 1533-position model. The record is from RNAcentral.
AUUGAACGCUGGCGGCAGGCCUAACACAUGCAAGUCGAGCGGAUGAAGGGAGCUUGCUCCUGGAUUCAGCGGCGGACGGGUGAGUAAUGCCUAGGAAUCUGCCUGGUAGUGGGGGAUAACGUCCGGAAACGGGCGCUAAUACCGCAUACGUCCUGAGGGAGAAAGUGGGGGAUCUUCGGACCUCACGCUAUCAGAUGAGCCUAGGUCGGAUUAGCUAGUUGGUGGGGUAAAGGCCUACCAAGGCGACGAUCCGUAACUGGUCUGAGAGGAUGAUCAGUCAAAAUUGAAAUGGAGAAACGUCCCGGCUCCUAAGGGAGGGCAGCAGUGGGAAAAUUUGACAAAGGGGCGAAGGCUUGUUCAGGCCAGGCGGCGGUGCGAAGGAAGGUCUUCGAAUGUAAAGCACUUUAAGUUGGGAGGAAGGGCAGUAAGUUAAUACCUUGCUGUUUUGACGUUACCAACAGAAUAAGCACCGGCUAACUUCGUG